This 374-nucleotide ribosomal RNA is filed under the name uncultured bacterium. Its description in RNAcentral is "bacterial SSU rRNA". It matches the Rfam family "Bacterial small subunit ribosomal RNA", at positions 30 to 431 of the family's 1533-position model. The record is from RNAcentral.
AGCGAACGCUGGCGGCAGGCCUAACACAUGCAAGUCGAGCGGGCGCCUUCGGGCGUCAGCGGCAGACGGGUGAGUAACGCGUGGGAACGUGCCCAUCGGUUCGGAACAACCCAGGGAAACUUGGGCUAAUACCGGAUACGUGCGAGAGCAGAAAGAUUUAUCGCCGAUGGAUCGGCCCGCGUCUGAUUAGCUUGUUGGUGAGGUAACGGCUCACCAAGGCGACGAUCAGAGCUGGUCUGAGAGGAUGAUCAGCCACACUGGGACUGAGACACGGCCCAGACUCCUACGGGAGGCAGCAGUGGGGAAUAUUGCGCAAUGGGCGAAAGCCUGACGCAGCGACGCCGCGUGAGGGAUGAAGGCCUCGGUUGUAACGU